Molecule: transfer RNA, 53 nt
Filed under: Poliothyrsis sinensis
Lineage: Eukaryota; Viridiplantae; Streptophyta; Magnoliopsida; Malpighiales; Salicaceae
Description: partial tRNA-Leu
Source: RNAcentral
AAAAUCCGUCAAUGGCUUUAUAAAUCGUGAGGGUUCAAGUCCCUCUAUCCCCA